CUGGAAGGGCAGUCCUCUCUCUAGGAUGCAAAUGGCUGAAGGGAAGAUGGCCAGGAUGAUCACGUGGGUUAUCCCCAGUGAUGGAGUGGGUACCACUUUAUGAGGGUCCGUGGGCAUCUUGGUAAGGAGCUUGAAUUAUAUUCUAAGUCAGGGGACAGGUCUGCUGUGGAAAUGAGACGAAUGCCUUUAUCCAUAGCCCCGUUGAUCCUGUAGAUUUAUCUCAGAUAUCUCUGCUGUGUUCACAAACGUUGUGGAGAAAGCAGAAUCAAUAAAGAACAGAAGGAAUAAAGAGAGAGCUGUUCAGACCAGGGAAUUACGGCGUUGUGAUUCACUUGGAAGACCGGCAUAAAAAUGCGCAGCGGAAUCUAUCAGUUGCAGUGCCAUCAAGGACGGCGGUGAAGGAGAGAAGGGGAUGGAUGGAGUGUGAGGUUUUCAUCUUAAACCUGAUGAAGGAAACUAAGAUGGGGACUGAGAAGACUUUCUAGGAAAGUCCCAAUACAAAGGAACAACUCCGCUUCAAAGUGUCCCGUGAAAAGCUACAUCCCAGGAGAACCUGCCUUCCAAAAAGCUCACCCCUCCUCCCGCAGUGGUACCCACUGCCAGGCAGCCAGGACUGUUAAUACAUGCAGUGAUGGGCACAUCCUGAAUAUUCCUGAAGAUUCAUUGGAAGGACUGAUGCUGAAGCUUCAAUACUCUGGCCACCUGAUGCCAAGAGCUGACUCAUUGGAAGAGACUCUGAUGCUGAGAAAGAUUGCGAACAGGAGGAGAAGGGGAUGACAGAGGAUGAGAUGGUUGGAUGGCACCACUGACUUGAUGGACAUGAAUUUAAGCAAACUCCAGAAGAUAAUGAAGAACAGGGAAGCCUGGCGUGCUGCAGUCCAUGGGGUCACAAAACAGUCAGAUACAGCUGAGCAACUGAACAACUAAAUGAUUUUCAGAGGGAGUUAUUACGUGAAAUCUUAACUUGAAGAUGGUUUAAAUGACUCAGGGUGAAGCUGAAUUUCCCCAUCACUUUAAAAAUAUUUAUUGAAAUAAAUAAACCAUAUCACUGGGCCA
Molecule: long non-coding RNA, 1056 nt
Filed under: Bos indicus x Bos taurus (hybrid cattle)
Lineage: Eukaryota; Metazoa; Chordata; Mammalia; Artiodactyla; Bovidae
Description: lncRNA (ENSBIXG00005011022.1)
Source: RNAcentral